GAAAAAUCUACAAUUGCUCGCAAUAAAUGAUAUGGCUGCUUUUGUUUCCUUCUGUCUUCCGAGUGGUAAAUCAACCGCCAUUUUACUUUUAAACUAUGACUGUAAAAAGCAUAAAAGCUUAACAUUAAUACAGCAAGAGUCUGGCAGUUUUUCUUCCUCUUUGCCUCUUCACCUGGACCAUAAAUAGGGAGCAAAGCAGUCUGCUGAAAAUACAUUUGUCUGUGUUGCUAAAUGUCUAUCACCUGUGGCUGUUGGUCACGAGCAGACCGUCUGGCUGUCCGCUGGUAUCUUCGCCAUCCUUGCCCUUCAUCCUCUCCUGGCGUGCCCUGCGCCUCCUCUCGCGGGCAGCCUCCUCCUCGUCAUCAUCAUUUCUCGCCAACCUGAGGGAGACAAAAGGGAGCUAACCUGUCAGCCGUGCUACAACCUAUACUUCUUAUCGUUGCUGCAGACAUUGGUGAGGACAAGAGAGCCAGAGAAACAGUGUCUCAAAGAUGAGGAAUGUUGUCAAAACAGAACAGAUGAAUCUGUCAACGCCCAAUCUGGACCUGAGGGACAUGACAUCGGUGACGUCAGGCAAUGAUUUGCACAUGUAUUUGUGCUUGGUUCAGAUGAUUCAGGAUGUUUAAGGGUAGAAAACUAGUAUAAUCAAUAAUAAAUGUUUAGUACACUUUGUAACAACAGACAAAGACUAAGAUGUAGCAAAACAAAGAAGAAGUAUAAGUUCUAUAUACGUUUUGUAACGAACAAGCUAUCAAUUGUCACUAUGAGUGUAAAUCACAAGUUUCCUCACUUUACAAAAAUACCACAAUCUGGUAUAUGCUGAUAUCAAAAAGUCUGCCAUGGUAAGAUUUCAACUUGAAUUAAUUCAGGGGUCUGCGAUCAAUAUGAGGUAUAAUAUGCCUAUUUAAAACAAGUUAUAUUUAUAUUAACUGCCAGAAAUAAACUAUGAGGGGUCUUUAGGAAGGAGGUGCACACAGUUGGAUGGACCAUGGGGAAUUUCAAAAUAAAGGUGUAUCUGAAAAAUGAUGAUAUGUAUUGAUGUUUUCGCUUUGCAUCAAUGAUAUUGGAUUGCUGACCAUCAAAUCGAUACACGGAUUCACACGCAAAUUAGCAACAGAGAUCAUUAUC
Molecule: long non-coding RNA, 1128 nt
Organism: Gymnodraco acuticeps
Lineage: Eukaryota; Metazoa; Chordata; Actinopteri; Perciformes; Bathydraconidae
Exons: 3
Source: RefSeq, a predicted model, not a curated record